Long non-coding RNA from Pollicipes pollicipes, 445 nucleotides. RefSeq lists it as uncharacterized. The record is from RefSeq and is a predicted model, not a curated record. NCBI's taxonomy places the organism in Eukaryota, Metazoa, Arthropoda, Thecostraca, Pollicipedomorpha, Pollicipedidae. The transcript is spliced from 2 exons.
CCGGCAACGUCGUCUCGGGGUCAGACGAUACACCCGGGAGGCCUAACUUCCAGUCACCAGAACGGGCUCCCACGCUAGGGGGUCGGCCUCGGGCGGCGGCAGCAGCUUCAACAAGGCACACGCCAAUAACGCCCAGCUCAGUGGCCUCCUGGGGCAGCUCUCGACCUCCAACACUGGAGCCGUCUCGCAUCAGAGCGGUGGGGGAGGCAAAUAUUGGUAGUUAACAGCUGGCAAUCACAACCAGCACCAGACAAGCGCUCGAUACUGCUAACCAGCAGUCGAUCAAGAGCAAGAUCCGGUCGGCGGAGGGCAUAGCUUAUCAAAAGUGGGCUUUGAACACCAAUCCCUCCGUGGAAAUGACGCGUUUCUGCGCACAUUCGAGCCUCUGCUUCAUGUGAUGUCAACUCGUAUCAGCUUGCUGAGGAAUACAUGAUGGAUGAGUCUA